RNAcentral lists this non-coding RNA (22 nucleotides) under Rattus norvegicus (Norway rat). Lineage: Eukaryota; Metazoa; Chordata; Mammalia; Rodentia; Muridae. The record is from RNAcentral.
UGUUCAGAGCAACUGCCGGCUU